AAAGCAUUCUCUGGUGUUGAAGGCCCUGCAAAGCAGCAUCGCGGUGGCGGAGCGUCGUUUGCGACGCCCAACACACAAAACAAGCGGUGAGUGCUUUGGGGUGGGGUGACUGCGUACCUUUUGUAUAAUGGGUCAGCGACUUAUAUUCUGUAGCAAGGUUAACCGUAUAGGGGAGCCGCAGGGAAACCGAGUCUUAACCGGGCGUUAAGUUGCAGGGUAUAGACCCGAAACCCGGUGAUCUAGCCAUGGGCAGGUUGAAGGUUGGGUAACACUAACUGGAGGACCGAACCGACUAAUGUUGAAAAAUUAGCGGAUGACCUGUGGCUGGGGGUGAAAGGCCAAUCAAACCGGGAGAUAGCUGGUUCUCCCCGAAAGCUAUUUAGGUAGCGCCUCGUGAAUUCAUCUCCGGGGGUAGAGCACUGUUUCGGCUAGGGGGCCAUCCCGGCUUACCAACCCGAUGCAAACUGCGAAUACCGGAGAAUGUUAUCACGGGAGACACACGGCGGGUGCUAACGUCCGUCGUGAAGAGGGAAACAACCCAGACCGCCAGCUAAGGUCCCAAAGUCAUGGUUAAGUGGGAAACGAUGUGGGAAGGCCCAGACAGCCAGGAUGUUGGCUUAGAAGCAGCCAUCAUUUAAAGAAAGCGUAAUAGCUCACUGGUCGAGUCGGCCUGCGCGGAAGAUGUAACGGGGCUAAACCAU
RNAcentral lists this ribosomal RNA (701 nucleotides) under Salmonella enterica. Its description in RNAcentral is "partial 23S ribosomal RNA". The stretch from base 80 to 701 matches the Rfam family "Bacterial large subunit ribosomal RNA", at positions 566 to 1190 of the family's 2925-position model. Lineage: Bacteria; Pseudomonadati; Pseudomonadota; Gammaproteobacteria; Enterobacterales; Enterobacteriaceae. The record is from RNAcentral.